UACGGAGGGUGCAAGCGUUAUCCGGAUUCACUGGGUUUAAAGGGUGCGUAGGUGGGUUGGUAAGUCAGUGGUGAAAUCUCCGUGCUUAACAUGGAAACUGCCAUUGAUACUACUGGUCUUGAAUUUUCCGGAGGUAAGCGGAAUAUGUCAUGUAGCGGUGAAAUGCUUAGAUAUGGCAUAGAACACCAAUUGCGAAGGCAGCUUACUACAGGGACAUUGACACUGAGGCACGAAAGCGUGGGGAUCAAACAGG
This 253-nucleotide ribosomal RNA is filed under the name uncultured bacterium. RNAcentral describes it as "partial 16S ribosomal RNA". It matches the Rfam family "Bacterial small subunit ribosomal RNA", at positions 524 to 776 of the family's 1533-position model. The record is from RNAcentral.